RNAcentral lists this long non-coding RNA (1094 nucleotides) under Theobroma cacao (cacao). Its description in RNAcentral is "long non-coding RNA (TCAC_LNC005242)". Lineage: Eukaryota; Viridiplantae; Streptophyta; Magnoliopsida; Malvales; Malvaceae. The record is from RNAcentral.
GUUUGGUGAAUUAAGGUAUUGGAAAAGAAAUGGAGCAAUUUGGAGCUAAAUUGGAUGCGUUGGCCAAUUAAUCGGGUGAAAAGACGAAUUAGGCCAAUAUCGGGUUUAGAUGGUUACCAGUACAUUUUGCAUUCCAUAUUAUGCAUUAGUAGUCUAAAUUAGUUUAAUUUCGAUUUAGUACCAAUGUAGUAAGUUUCUCGAUUUUGUACUAUGUUAAGGUGGUGAGACCUCCGAUAAAGGCAAAAAAAUUACAUCCGAGGACCAGUAGUCAGAGUACUUCAAAAAUCUACACUCUAGACAUUGUGAGUAAACUUACUGUCAUUUUAAUUAUCUAGAGUGGCUUUUAGAUGAUUUCAUGAAUUCUAUGGAAAAAUGGAUUUAAAAAGGUAAAUUUUCAUGUUUUAUGAAUAAAUGUGUUUUAAUGAAAUUAAUUUAUAAAUUGUUUUGAAAUUAAUAAUGAUUUUGAAAAAUAGAGUACACGGAGACUGCUAUUUGUUGCAAUUUGAUUGUUUAAAUUGAUUGGCUUAUGAUAAAUUGAACAUAAUUGGCUGGUUGGCAAUUGUAUUGAAAUACAGAUUGUUUGUUUGCCUUAAAAGGCUGUGAAUUACAAUAAUUGCCAUAUCAUGUUAUUGAAUUUUAUUGAUUGGUGGGAUAAUUAUUAGCUUACUGCAGUUGGCGGGUUUCGUGGACCAGCCUAUGAGAUGGGCACGGUAACCUCGUUUAUAUGUGCUCACCUCGGUUGUAAAGGUGCGUAGGGUAGCUCCUGAGGUGAUAGUUGAAUUCACUUCACGCCGAACCACCACGUGAUGGUGAACUCAGCCAACACCAAGGAACGGCUGUGAUGUCCAAUGAAAAAUUUGUUUUAUGUGAAAUGUGAAUUUUUAACAGCUUUGGCUGUCUCGGUAGGAUGCCUCAGCCAAGGUGUCCCCGAGGAUGGAUUUAUGGCACAAGCCUAGGUUUUAUGAGAUUCAUAAGCCUCAUUACGUAUUUUGAAUGAAAUGUGUUCUAAUGCUGUGACCCAAUUUACGAUGAUUUAUUUUAUCGUCUCCAUGUACUCAACUCUAGAUGUUUAUGAUGAUGUCUGUUUAUUCACU